RNAcentral lists this ribosomal RNA (459 nucleotides) under uncultured bacterium. RNAcentral's name for it is "partial 16S ribosomal RNA". It matches the Rfam family "Bacterial small subunit ribosomal RNA", at positions 338 to 795 of the family's 1533-position model. The record is from RNAcentral.
CCUACGGGAGGCUGCAGUGAGGAAUAUUGGUCAAUGGCCGGAAGGCUGAACCAGCCAUGCCGCGUGAAGGUCAGUGCUCUAUGGGCGCUAAACUCCCUUUGUGCGGGAGCAAUAAUGGUCACGUGUGGCCAGACGAGAGUACCGUACGAAUAAGCAUCGGCUAACUCCGUUCCAGCAGCCGCGGUAAUACGGGGGAGGCAAGCGUUAUCCGGAUUUAUUGGGUUUAAAGGGUGCGUAGGCUGUGAGGUAAGUCAGCGGUGAAAGUUUGCGGCUCAACCGUAAAAUUGCAGUUGAAACUGGCAGUCUUGAGUACGGUAGAGGUAGGCGGAAUUCGUGGUGUAGCGGUGAAAUGCUUAGAUAUCGCGAAGAACUCCGAUUGCGAAGGCAGCUCGCUGGACUGCAACUGACACUGAGGCUCGAAAGUGUGGGUAUCGAACAGGAUUAGAUACCCCAGUAGUC